UUUUACUUAGUUUAUAAAAUAAUUACUUGUCAAGUAAUAGAGGCUUAGGCAGUAUGGU
This 58-nucleotide transfer RNA is filed under the name Karaftohelix adamsi. Its description in RNAcentral is "tRNA-Asp". The record is from RNAcentral. Lineage: Eukaryota; Metazoa; Mollusca; Gastropoda; Stylommatophora; Camaenidae.